Molecule: long non-coding RNA, 1499 nt
Filed under: Equus caballus (horse)
Lineage: Eukaryota; Metazoa; Chordata; Mammalia; Perissodactyla; Equidae
Description: lncRNA (ENSECAG00000058577.1)
Source: RNAcentral
CGCCUGGUGUUUGAGGCGGCCGUGGGGGGUCAGCCGAAGGCCGGGGAAGGCCGGGUCGAGACGCGGGGUCGCAUGUUCGGCUUUAUUAGUAUCGACUCCCUCUCGUCUGUAAUAGAGACCCUCCUGGGCUGCGCAGUUUCCGAACAGGGAUGUGGUCACUCCUGGCCUGAUCCCCACGCCCAGGCCCUCGGGGCUCCCAUUUGCUCGGUGGGGAAACCGAGAGCUGCAGUGCUUCCCGCCCCCCAGAGGUCCCACGUGCUCGCGGUUCCCGGGCGUCUGCUGUGUGCCUGCGUGUGCGGUCGUGUGGGAACCCGGGCCCUGCUGUGCGGGGGGCUGCCGAGGGCACUGGGGACCCCAGAGCCUCCUUCGUGGCCUGGGGGCUUCGGAGAAGACGAAGCUGUCCCAGAUUCGCUGUUCCUCCCCUCCACACUCAGCCCCCGCCAACCUGGGCCUUGGUGCCAUACUGACUUUUCUGCUGGUCAUCCAACACAGUUUCUCGAUCACGGUGCUAGUGACCAUUUGGGCCGGAUCACUGUUUGCUGUGGGGGCCGUCCUGUGCAUUGUAGGAUGGUCAGCAGCGUCUCUGGUCUCCACCCACUAGAGGCCAACAACACUCCCUCUCCGCCCGCUCCCCUCCCCCACACCUUAUGAUACCUGUCUCUGGACAUCACCUCGUUGAGAACCAUUGCUCCAAGGCAGAAAGAGCCACUCCGCAGGCUCUUUCUCAGACCAGAAUGCCCUCCUACCCCAUCCCUUCUCAACUCCUGCUGGAAAGCUCCCUAGACUAGGUAGGGUCCCAUUCCAUGCUCAGUGGCACUCAUCUAUGUUCCAUGACAGCAGGGAUGGGGUCUGCCUUUGCUACCCAAGUGUCCCCAACAAGCAGCCAGGGGCCUGAUCAGAAGCAGGUGGUACUCUUUUGAGUUGAAUGAGUGAGUUUUUGCAGCCUCCCAUACGGUUUCCAGGGCCCCCAGGUGGGCUGGAACUCAGUGUGAUCUGAGCCCGUGUGGACCUGUCUCUGCCCUGCAGGGUCUUUAUGAAGUCUCCAGUGAAUUCACACAUGUAAAACCCUUGACUUCCACCUCAACCCAAACGUUCCUUUCACUUCAGCUUUUGCCUCCCCAGCCAGAAAGGAGGCUGCCCCAGGCACCAGGAGGGCCACGUGAUCAGAGCCCAGAGCUAUGGAGGAGUAAAGAGGGGGAGACAAGGAUGAGGAGAGAGUUGCAGCCACCAGAGAUUCCUCUGCAAAGCCGUUCACGGGACACCAUGGGCCCUGAGGCAGACAAGCACCCUGACACAGAGGAGACUACAGGAAAUCACCCGAGGCGCGCAGGCCAGGCCCUGCGGUGUCCAGACCCUCAGUUUGGACCCAGGCCCCUCCCCAGGUCUUGCUCCAGGACGUGGGGGCAGAGGACAACAAAAGUCCUGUUCCAAGGUGCGGGGAGCCCAGCAGACGCCAUCCAGCUCCUGACUAGUUAACCUGGAGUUAAUCAGAAGUCGAU